This 73-nucleotide transfer RNA is filed under the name Cheilinus fasciatus (redbreast wrasse). RNAcentral's name for it is "tRNA-Val". It matches the Rfam family "tRNA". Rfam says of the family: Transfer RNA (tRNA) molecules are approximately 80 nucleotides in length. Their secondary structure includes four short double-helical elements and three loops (D, anti-codon, and T loops). Further hydrogen bonds mediate the characteristic L-shaped molecular structure. tRNAs have two regions of fundamental functional importance: the anti-codon, which is responsible for specific mRNA codon recognition, and the 3' end, to which the tRNAs corresponding amino acid is attached (by aminoacyl-tRNA synthetases). tRNAs cope with the degeneracy of the genetic code in two manners: having more than one tRNA (with a specific anti-codon) for a particular amino acid; and 'wobble' base-pairing, i.e. permitting non-standard base-pairing at the 3rd anti-codon position. Lineage: Eukaryota; Metazoa; Chordata; Actinopteri; Labriformes; Labridae. The record is from RNAcentral.
CAGGGUAUAGCUAAAUUAGUAUAGCAUCUCCCCUACACCGAGAAGACAUUCGUGCAAAUCGAGUUACCCUGAC